Long non-coding RNA from Sesamum indicum (sesame), 1427 nucleotides. RefSeq lists it as uncharacterized. Lineage: Eukaryota; Viridiplantae; Streptophyta; Magnoliopsida; Lamiales; Pedaliaceae. The record is from RefSeq and is a predicted model, not a curated record.
UAAUGACCAAGCUUUCCUCCAAACAUCCAAUAGAUGUUGGUGUUGUCCCUCCAUAACUCGUUUACAUCGUCUACCAGGAUGGUGUUGCGGGGUUCUCAAGUUUUUGGUGAGUUUGUUAACUGCCAUUUGCGGCAGCGUGAGGGUUCUGCGGAUAGUGGGGAUUUGGCUCAAUAGGGUCACAAUUCUUUGGGACGGUUGAUUCCGCUAGCUCUUCAUUCAGUUGUAGACAUGAGACCUUAUGAGGUGGCAAGCAAUGUUGGUAAUAAUGGUGUAUAACAUGUCAAUAUGUUCAACAAGUUGCUGCAUGACAAGGCUCUGGACGAAGGAAAAAAUUCCUAGGACUGGCUCUUCGUCUAAGCAAGUCCCUCUUUAACUCCAGCAAGCUCAGCCUCCACUAUGUGAUCGUAAAGGAAAAGGCCAAACAGAGCCUAUUUCAACUCCUGCCAAGAAGGCCAAAAUCUCCACCGGUUCCCUAGCUCCUCCGGCUCCUAAGCCAUCCAUGAGCGCUGGUACUCCCCACCCAUCUGAUGUGAAAAUCAAAGGGGAGAAACUGAUUUUUGAUGAGGUCUCCUCCUUGCUGAAGGAAGGGGAUGAGGGCAGUCUGGCAGUUGAUUUUCUAAAAGGGCUCCUUUCUCCACCUGACAAAGUCUUCCUCGAGGCUUUUCCUCGUGAUCAAGCCAUGAACUCACUAGCUUCUCAUAUUAGUAAGGCUGCCCUAAUGGCCGGAGAUUUGUUUAGCUAGUUGGAACGAGGAGAACCUGCUGCUGCGGAGGCCUAGAGGAAGGUGGAGGAGGAGAGAGAAAUACGGAAAAAGGAACCCAAGCAUGAAGUCAACCUAGUUCACUUAAGGUAAGAGAUAUCAAGUCUUUAUGAACGUCUAGAGCAGGCGGUACUCAAGCUUCAAGAUUAUCCUUCUACAGAGGAGGGGAAGCAAAAAUUGGAAGAGCUAUGGUCGAGCCGAAUGGUCGAAUUCAAGAUCCAUGGAGUUUCCACGUCUCCUCUCAGAUAGCGCCUUGAGUACUAUUACCAUGGAUAUCAGACUUGUGCUUCCCAAUUCACAUAUGUCGAUUAUCUUCCUCUAACGCUCCUAUUGACUUCCUGGAUAUUCACACGGGAUUGGCCGAUGCACCUAAGCCGUACAAGGAAAUUCGUCGUGAAUUGCCAGAUACCCUACUUCAUGCUCCCAGGGAAGGUGAGGCCCCAACAAACCCCAUGGAUCAAAUGGUGGAGGAUGUCUUUCCCCUCAAAGCGGUCCCUCUUGUUGGUGAUGAUGAAACCGCUCCUCCUCAUCCUGACAAGUAAAUUAGCUUUCUGCCAUUAACAUGAACAAAUAUAUUUUUUGUUAACAUUUCCUCCCGUGAGGCUAUCGAAAUGCCCUCUUGUGGGCUCUAAAUGUUUAUUUUGGAUCCUUGAUGCCCCCUGGAUUC